This 503-nucleotide ribosomal RNA is filed under the name uncultured Acidobacteriota bacterium. RNAcentral describes it as "bacterial SSU rRNA". It matches the Rfam family "Bacterial small subunit ribosomal RNA", at positions 13 to 529 of the family's 1533-position model. The record is from RNAcentral. Lineage: Bacteria; Pseudomonadati; Acidobacteriota.
UUGAUCCUGGCUCAGAAUCAACGCUGGCGGCGUGCCUAACACAUGCAAGUCGAACGAGAAAGCGGGGGCAACCCCGUGAGUAAAGUGGCGACCGGGUGAUUAACACGUGACUAACCUGCCCUUGAGUGGGGGAUAACCUCGGGAAACCGUGGCUAAUACCGCAUAACAUCCUGUGGGUGCAAUUCCCGUUGGAUCAAAGUAGCAAUUCGCUGAAGGAGGGGGUCGCGGCCGAUUAGCUAGUUGGUAGGGUAAUGGCCUACCAAGGCGACGAUCGGUAGCCGGCCUGAGAGGGCGCACGGUCACACUGGAACUGAAACACGGUCCAGACUCCUACGGGAGGCAGCAGUGGUGAAUUUUGCGCAAUGGGGGAAACCCUGACGCAGCAACGCCGCGUGGAGGUUGAAGUCCCUUGGGACGUAAACUCCUUUCGACCGGGAAGAUAAUGACGGUACCGGUGGAAGAAGCCCCGGCUAACUUCGUGCCAGCAGCCGCGGUAAUAUGGU